UUUGAAAUAAAAAUGAAAGUAGAGGGAGAACGGUCAUGAAUAACACAAAGAAGGAACUCAUCUUCUUCAUCCAGCUCCACAAAAAAUGGCAUAUCACAUUUUAUGGCCUCGUGGUGAAAUUGACACGGCAAUACACUCGGCCUAGCUCAUAGAUGUCCUUUCCAUGCUUAGAUUUCACCAAUUCCAUCUAAGCAUGGAGAAUUUCAGCUUAACCGAACAUGAAAGCAAAACCUAAUUUUAAAAUUAAAUGACAAAGGUGUAGCAAUAAUGAAUCAAAGCAUGGGAAAAUGUUCAGUGCAUCAAGACGCUUCCAGUGAUAUCACAUUUUGUGCAAAUAGAUCAAGAUUACUACCUUGCCAGAGUUUGAUCAAGAUUACUCCCUUGGGCCUGCAUUUGAUUGCUUUUUUCACAUGUAUGAUGCUUGCAUUAAUCACACUUAAUCUAGAUGGCUUGGCUUGGAAAUUUUCAUGGUUUGCUCGAGCUUGAUUUGAAGAUGAUAAUGAUGUUGUCGUUGUUGUUUGAUUCAUGGUAGUUGUAACUCAGCCUUGCUUUGGCUCGUGAAUGGAAUAUGAUGGCAUGCUUGGUUUGGCUU
RNAcentral lists this long non-coding RNA (592 nucleotides) under Lathyrus oleraceus (garden pea). RNAcentral's name for it is "Pisum sativum (pea) long non-coding RNA (PSAT_LNC015522)". The record is from RNAcentral. Lineage: Eukaryota; Viridiplantae; Streptophyta; Magnoliopsida; Fabales; Fabaceae.